GUGAGGAAUAUUGGUCAAUGGGCGAGAGCCUGAACCAGCCAAGUCGCGUGAAGGAAGAAGGAUCUAUGGUUCGUAAACUUCUUUUGCAGGGGAAUAAAGUGCGGGACGUGUCCUGUUUUGUAUGUACCCUGAGAAUAAGGAUCGGCUAACUCCGUGCCAGCAGCCGCGGUAAUACGGAGGAUCCGAGCGUUAUCCGGAUUUAUUGGGUUUAAAGGGUGCGUGGGUGGUUUGAUAAGUCAGCGGUGAAAGUUUGCAGCUUAACUGUAAAAAUGCCGUUGAAACUGUCGGACUUGAGUGUAAAUGAGGUAGGCGGAAUGCGUGGUGUAGCGGUGAAAUGCAUAGAUAUCACGCAGAACUCCGAUUGCGAAGGCAGCUUACUAAGCUACAACUGACACUGAAGCACGAAAGCGUGGGGAUCAAACAGGAUUAGAAACCCGUGUAGUCC
This 445-nucleotide ribosomal RNA is filed under the name uncultured bacterium. Its description in RNAcentral is "partial 16S ribosomal RNA". It matches the Rfam family "Bacterial small subunit ribosomal RNA", at positions 354 to 796 of the family's 1533-position model. The record is from RNAcentral.